RNAcentral lists this unclassified non-coding RNA (438 nucleotides) under Hevea brasiliensis (rubber tree). Lineage: Eukaryota; Viridiplantae; Streptophyta; Magnoliopsida; Malpighiales; Euphorbiaceae. The record is from RNAcentral.
AUAGAGUGAUAAAUGCCUCUUUGCUUUUGUAUUCUUAUCCAGGAACUAGGAAACCCAAGUGGGAUUAGAUGUGAUUUUGGUAUGGAUGACUUGUUCCUCUUUAUCCUGUAUCCAUUCAACUGAAGAGUUGGUAAAAAUGAGUCCCACGAGUAAGGAGAGAAGAGGAACUCAGGAAGAAAGGGAGAGUCUCUUGAGCACUGUGUGAAAUGUAGACUGAGCAAUGUUUAUCUGCUGCUGCUUUUUCCUUUAUCUGAGCAUUUAACAAAAUGCAUCUUAGCAAUGUCAAUGAAAGGUUUCCCUUGUACGAGAUCUAGACUUUUUGGCUUCUACCUCAAAAAUCUUGAUCGAUAUAGAGAGAUUGAAAAAUAACUAUGCUGUUUCUUGCUUGAAUAAAUCUCUCUAUGCUGGCUUACCAUUCAGACUCUUCUUCAAUCCCUG